Molecule: long non-coding RNA, 223 nt
Filed under: Homo sapiens (human)
Lineage: Eukaryota; Metazoa; Chordata; Mammalia; Primates; Hominidae
Description: non-protein coding lnc-NUP35-3:1
Source: RNAcentral
UUUAAUAAAAAAAAAAAAAGUUCCUGAAUUGGAAACCAGUGUUAGAAACCAGACAAGGAAGUCCAGGUGUGGUGGCUCAUGCCUGUAAUCCCAGCACUUUGGCAGGCUGAGGCAGAAACUCUACAAGCCAGAAGAGAGUGGGGCCCAAUAUUCAACAUUCUUUUUUUUUUUUAAUAUACACCACAUUUUCUUUAUUCAUUUGUUGAUAGACACUUAAGUUGAU